AAAAAGGACAGGUCCACUUACUACAAAGGACAGUCAAGCACUUACAAGCUCUGAGGCCAGACCACUAUACCACCAGAGGCUGAAGGGUUCCUCUCCUGAAAGGUCUGCUGGAUGGUGCAGGUCUCCUCUGAAACAUCCUCCAGGUGCACUUUUCUGCC
Long non-coding RNA from Perognathus longimembris pacificus (Pacific pocket mouse), 158 nucleotides. RefSeq lists it as uncharacterized. The record is from RefSeq and is a predicted model, not a curated record. The transcript has 3 exons. NCBI's taxonomy places the organism in Eukaryota, Metazoa, Chordata, Mammalia, Rodentia, Heteromyidae.